UGGGGAAUCUUGGACAAUGGGCGCAAGCCUGAUCCAGCCAUGCCGCGUGGAUGAUGAAGGCCCUAGGGUUGUAAAAUCCUUUCGUUGGGGACGAUAAUGACGGUACCCAAAGAAGAAGCUCCGGCUAACUUCGUGCCAGCAGCCGCGGUAAUACGAAGGGGGCUAGCGUUGUUCGGAUUUACUGGGCGUAAAGCGCGUGUAGGCGGGUCGUUAAGUUGGGGGUGAAAUCCCGAGGCUCAACCUCGGAACUGCCUUCAAAACUGGCGACCUGGACUCAAGUAGAGGCAAGUGGAAUUGCGAGUGUAGAGGUGAAAUUCGUAGAUAUUCGCAGGAACACCAGUGGCGAAGGCGGCUCACUGGACGUGUAUUGACGCUGAGGUACGAAAGCGUGGGGAGCAAACAGGAUUAGAUACCCAAGUAGUCCCUGAGCGGGCUGGCAAGGCGCAU
Molecule: ribosomal RNA, 447 nt
Filed under: uncultured bacterium
Lineage: Bacteria
Description: bacterial SSU rRNA
Rfam family: Bacterial small subunit ribosomal RNA
Source: RNAcentral